Molecule: long non-coding RNA, 979 nt
Organism: Paramormyrops kingsleyae
Lineage: Eukaryota; Metazoa; Chordata; Actinopteri; Osteoglossiformes; Mormyridae
Source: RefSeq, a predicted model, not a curated record
GCUCAACUUCAACUGAGUCUGACAGCAUAUAGACUUCACAAGUGACAAAGUGAAAUCCUAACUAUGCUGUCAUAUGGGUGUAUCGCUAACUAAGCAUAAAGGACGUUGCCUUGCUCUCACGGGGAAUGACGCAGCAGCUGAGCCGGUCGAGAAAUAGGAAGUCGAGCUGCUUGUAGCAUUUUCCACAAGUGCUGUGCAACAGCGACAAAGAAUGACUGGGCCAAUAGCACUAUAAGCCAAAAAUACGAUCUGGUGACUCGUUAAUUUAGCAGACAUAUUGACACUAGAAGAAGAAGAAAAAGUGUGAAGUAAAGUUGCCUGCAAAUAUUCUGUUUGACGCUCUAGUUUAAUUUGUUGUUAUUCACGUGUUCAGUGUUUCAAAAAUUGUACCAUCUAACCUCAGGCAGUCCUGGUUUUUUCAGGGCAGUUUUCCAGCAUGAUACCUUGUCUGCGCACACAAAACACAAACGCAUUUGUCUAAUUAGAUUUCACCUGCCUAAACAUAAUGUAAGGCAGUUCAGUAGGGUCUGUGAUGGAUUCACAGUGACCUAGCUCACAUCGGCAUCUGAAAAAUAUUGCCUGAUAGGUGAGACACUAAUUUAAUUAUGGAGAGGAAUAAUUUAAGAUUGAAAGAAAUGAACUGAUAUUUAACCUUUUAAUGUCACCAGAAAGAGAUACUGAAAUCAGAAGUCACAGUCAGAGGCUAACCCUGCCAAUGCUGUUCAGUCACAUCACUGCAGUCACAGGUUUAGACGCAGCACACAGAAAUGACCAUAAUGACCUUGACCUCGACAUUUAACAUUAUAACAAACAUCCUAUGGCCAUUAUUUGGUCACUGAACUCAAGAAGACUUAAGAGAAGGUAAAUUGCAAUAAAUACAUAAAUCGACAAGUACAAACAUAAGAACAUAAGAACUAUACAAACAAGAGGAGGCCAUUCGGCCCAUCGAGCUUGCUUGGGGAGAACUUAUAACUAAUAG